Molecule: transfer RNA, 72 nt
Filed under: Heliconius melpomene (postman butterfly)
Lineage: Eukaryota; Metazoa; Arthropoda; Insecta; Lepidoptera; Nymphalidae
Description: tRNA HMEL017383
Source: RNAcentral
GAACAUAUGGCUUAGCGGUCAGAGCGCUUAGACUGUCUCCAAGAGACGUGGAUUCAAAUCGCGCUACGUUAA